UGGGGAAUCUUCCGCAAUGGGCGAAAGCCUGACGGAGCAACGCCGCGUGAGUGAUGAAGGUCUUCGGAUCGUAAAACUCUGUUAUUAGGGAAGAACAUAUGUGUAAGUAACUGUGCACAUCUUGACGGUACCUAAUCAGAAAGCCACGGCUAACUACGUGCCAGCAGCCGCGGUAAUACGUAGGUGGCAAGCGUUAUCCGGAAUUAUUGGGCGUAAAGCGCGCGUAGGCGGUUUUUUAAGUCUGAUGUGAAAGCCCACGGCUCAACCGUGGAGGGUCAUUGGAAACUGGAAAACUUGAGUGCAGAAGAGGAAAGUGGAAUUCCAUGUGUAGCGGUGAAAUGCGCAGAGAUAUGGAGGAACACCAGUGGCGAAGGCGACUUUCUGGUCUGUAACUGACGCUGAUGUGCGAAAGCGUGGGGAUCAAACAGGAUUAGAUACCCUGGUAGUCCACGCCGUAACGAUGAGUGCUAAGUGUUAGGGGGUUUCCGCCCCUUAGUGCUGCAGCUAACGCAUUAAGCACUCCGCCUGGGGAGUACGACCGCAAGGUUG
RNAcentral lists this ribosomal RNA (549 nucleotides) under uncultured bacterium. RNAcentral describes it as "bacterial SSU rRNA". It matches the Rfam family "Bacterial small subunit ribosomal RNA", at positions 355 to 896 of the family's 1533-position model. The record is from RNAcentral.